UUUCCGUAGGUGAACCUGCGGAAGGAUCAUUAUUGUAUAACCGAGGUGCGAGGGCUGUCGCUGACCCGAAAGGUCGUGCACGCACGGGUGCCCUCACACACAUCCAUCUCACCCCUAUGUGCACCACCGCGUGGGUCCCCCUUUGGCUUGUUCGGAGGGGGGCUUACGUUUUCACACAAACUUUGUAUGCAGUGUAGAAUGUAUUUUUUGUUUUUGCGAUCACGCAAUCAAUACAACUUUCAACAACGGAUCUCUUGGCUCUC
RNAcentral lists this unclassified non-coding RNA (263 nucleotides) under plant metagenome. RNAcentral describes it as "partial contains small subunit ribosomal RNA, internal transcribed spacer 1, and 5.8S ribosomal RNA". The record is from RNAcentral.